GACGAACGCUGGCGGCGUGCUUAACACAUGCAAGUCGAACGGAAAGGCCCUGCUUUUGUGGGGUGCUCGAGUGGCGAACGGGUGAGUAACACGUGAGUAACCUGCCCUUGACUUUGGGAUAACUUCAGGAAACUGGGGCUAAUACCGGAUAGGAGCUCCUGCUGCAUGGUGGGGGUUGGAAAGUUUCGGCGGUUGGGGAUGGACUCGCGGCUUAUCAGCUUGUUGGUGGGGUAGUGGCUUACCAAGGCUUUGACGGGUAGCCGGCCUGAGAGGGUGACCGGCCAAAUUGGGACUGAGAUACGGCCCAGACUCCUACGGGAGGCAGCAGUGGGGAAUAGUGCACAAUGGGCGGAAGCCUGAUGCAGCAACGCCGCGUGCGGGAUGACGGCCUUCGGGUUGUAAACCGCUUUCGCCUGUGACGAAGCGUGAGUGACGGUAAUGGGUAAAGAAGCACCGGCUAACUACGUG
This 468-nucleotide ribosomal RNA is filed under the name uncultured bacterium. RNAcentral describes it as "partial 16S ribosomal RNA". It matches the Rfam family "Bacterial small subunit ribosomal RNA", at positions 28 to 507 of the family's 1533-position model. The record is from RNAcentral.